AGCAGUAGCCGCGGUAAUACGUAGGUGGCAAGCGUUGUCCGGAAUUAUUGGGCGUAAAGGGCUCGCAGGCGGUUUCUUAAGUCUGAUGUGAAAGCCCCCGGCUCAACCGGGGAGGGUCAUUGGAAACUGGGAAACUUGAGUGCGGAAGAGGAGAGUGGAAUUCCACGUGUAGCGGUGAAAUGCGUAGAGAUGUGGAGGAACACCAGUGGCGAAGGCGACUCUCUGGUCUGUAACUGACGCUGAGGAGCGAAAGCGUGGGGAGCGAACAGGAUUAGAUACCCCGGUAGUCCCUGUCUCUUAUAC
RNAcentral lists this ribosomal RNA (303 nucleotides) under uncultured bacterium. RNAcentral's name for it is "partial 16S ribosomal RNA". It matches the Rfam family "Bacterial small subunit ribosomal RNA", at positions 507 to 807 of the family's 1533-position model. The record is from RNAcentral.